CUCUUUUUCAGAAAAAGAAAAGAACCCUCUGCUAGGGUUUACAUUUUUCUCUGCCGCCGCAGCCAACAAGGGCGUCUCACGGCCCGUCGUUGCCCCGGUCUCCGAUUGCGAUGGAGAGGGGAAAAAGACGGCCACGUUAGGCGUACGGAGGCCGUACGGUGACGCGUGUGAGGAGUGGCUCGGGGCGUGGUUCGUGGCGCGCAUGCGAAUGGAGAGCGGCGGCGACUGUUAGUUUGCUGCCUAGGGUUGCUGGGUGCUGCUUGGUGUUGGGCCGUCGGGCAUUAGGCUUAGUGGGUUGUGCGGGUAUUCAGGCUAUUCGGGUUUGGGCCAUUGGGUUUAGAAUGAGGUUUAUGUUAGAUCUGGGCUUUGUAAUACUAAACAUUUAAAAAAGGACUGUUAUAUUUUUUAUUUUAUUUAUUUGUGUUUGUGUUUUUGGGCCCGGGCAAAUUGGGCUUAUUACAGCCAAGAUUACACAUGCCUAAUAUUUCAGUUACAUUGAACGCGUGGUUUAUGCUAA
Molecule: long non-coding RNA, 517 nt
Organism: Gossypium raimondii (Peruvian cotton)
Lineage: Eukaryota; Viridiplantae; Streptophyta; Magnoliopsida; Malvales; Malvaceae
Exons: 2
Source: RefSeq, a predicted model, not a curated record